This is a long non-coding RNA of Helianthus annuus (common sunflower), 446 nucleotides long. RefSeq lists it as uncharacterized. Lineage: Eukaryota; Viridiplantae; Streptophyta; Magnoliopsida; Asterales; Asteraceae. The transcript is spliced from 3 exons. The record is from RefSeq and is a predicted model, not a curated record.
AACCAGGAAGGAGAAAAGGGGGAAACCCCUUAUCAUCACAAAUUCACCAAAUUGAAGCCCUAAAUGUGAUCCUAAGUUCGUGCAUGUCUUAAUAUUGGAUCAUCUACGCAUUAUUAAACACAAGGAAUAAAAGAAGAAAGCUCAAAUCAAUUCGGGUCGCAAGCGAAGGACGGCAAAGGUAAAGCAACUUGAUGACGGCGCUACUUGGGUUGAACACACUUGUGAUGCACGCUUCCGCGAAGAUAUUAGUUUGGGUUAAAACUUUUGUUAAAUGUGCUUUUUGACUAAAACGGGUCUUUUUGUAAGUAACGUAACUUGGUCGUUGUAAGUUGUCGAAUUUGUAGUUGAAGACUAUGUAGUCGUUUACGAAAUGUUGGCUUGUAGCUAUUUUGUAACUCCUCGUUAGUUAUGUCAUGGUUAAAAAUAGAAUUUUUACUUGUUAAUUA